CAGCAGCCGCGGUAAUACGAAGGGGGCGAGCGUUGCUCGGAAUGACUGGGCGUAAAGGGCGCGUAGGUGGCGUGCACAGUCAGAUGUGAAAUUCCUGGGCUCAACCUGGGGGCUGCAUUUGAUACGUGCGUGCUAGAGUGUGGAAGAGGGUCGUGGAAUUCCCAGUGUAGAGGUGAAAUUCGUAGAUAUUGGGAAGAACACCGGUGGCGAAGGCGGCGACCUGGUCCAUUACUGACGCUGAGGCGCGAAAGCGUGGGGAGCAAACAGGAUUAGAUACCCGUGUAGUCCCUGUCUCUUAUAC
This 301-nucleotide ribosomal RNA is filed under the name uncultured bacterium. Its description in RNAcentral is "partial 16S ribosomal RNA". It matches the Rfam family "Bacterial small subunit ribosomal RNA", at positions 509 to 807 of the family's 1533-position model. The record is from RNAcentral.